RNAcentral lists this ribosomal RNA (675 nucleotides) under Inocybe assimilata. RNAcentral's name for it is "eukaryotic LSU rRNA". It matches the Rfam family "Eukaryotic large subunit ribosomal RNA", at positions 1 to 651 of the family's 3401-position model. The record is from RNAcentral. Lineage: Eukaryota; Fungi; Basidiomycota; Agaricomycetes; Agaricales; Inocybaceae.
UKGACCUCAAAUCAGGUAGGAUUACCCGCUGAACUUAAGCAUAUCAAUAAGCGGAGGAAAAGAAACUAACAAGGAUUCCCCUAGUAACUGCGAGUGAAGCGGGAAGAGCUCAAAUUUGAAAUCUGACGGUUGUUGACCGUCCGAGUUGUAAUCUAGAGAAGUGUUACCUGUGCUGGACCGUGUACAAGUCUUCUGGAAUGGAGCAUCAUAGAGGGUGAGAAUCCCGUCUUUGACAUGGACUACCUGUACGUUGUGGUACGCUCUCAAAGAGUCGAGUUGUUUGGGAAUGCAGCUCAAAAUGGGUGGUAAAUGCCAUCUAAAGCUAAAUAUUGGCGAGAGACCGAUAGCGAACAAGUACCGUGAGGGAAAGAUGAAAAGAACUUUGGAAAGAGAGUUAAACAGUACGUGAAAUUGCUGAAAGGGAAACGCUUGAAGUCAGUCACGUCGGCUAGAAAUCAGCCUUGCUUCUGCUUGGUGUACUUUCUGGUUGAUGGGUCAGCAUCAAUUUUGACCAUUGGAUAAAGUCUCUGGGAAUGUGGCAUCUUUUUUUAGAUGUGUUAUAGCCCAUUGUCGCAUACGGUGGUUGGGAUUGAGGAACUCAGCAUGCCCUGCAAGGGGCCAGGUUUCGACCAUGUUCAUGCUUAGGAUGCUGGCAUAAUGGCUUCAAUCGACCCG